RNAcentral lists this ribosomal RNA (253 nucleotides) under uncultured bacterium. Its description in RNAcentral is "partial 16S ribosomal RNA". It matches the Rfam family "Bacterial small subunit ribosomal RNA", at positions 524 to 776 of the family's 1533-position model. The record is from RNAcentral.
GACGAACCGAGCGAACGUUGUUCGGAAUCACUGGGCUUAAAGGGCGCGUAGGCGGGCUGCCGCGUCCGGGGUGAAAUCCUCCGGCUCAACCGGGGAACGGCCUCGGGUACGGGCGGCCUCGAGGGGGGUAGGGGCGUGCGGAACUGUGGGUGGAGCGGUGAAAUGCGUAGAGAUCUGGAGGAAUACCGGUGGCGAAGGCGGCCCCCUGGACAAAGACUGACGCUCAGGUGCGAAAGCGUGGGGAGCAAACAGG